RNAcentral lists this ribosomal RNA (253 nucleotides) under uncultured bacterium. Its description in RNAcentral is "partial 16S ribosomal RNA". It matches the Rfam family "Bacterial small subunit ribosomal RNA", at positions 524 to 776 of the family's 1533-position model. The record is from RNAcentral.
UACGAAGGGGGCUAGCGUUGCUCGGAAUCACUGGGCGUAAAGGGUGCGUAGGAGGGUCUUUAAGUCAGGGGUGAAAUCCUGGAGCUCAACUCCAGAACUGCCUUUGAUACUGAAGAUCUUGAGUUCGGGAGAGGUGAGUGGAACUGCGAGUGUAGAGGUGAAAUUCGUAGAUAUUCGCAAGAACACCAGUGGCGAAGGCGGCUCACUGGCCCGAUACUGACGCUGAGGUGCGAAAGCGUGGGGAGCAAACAGG